Molecule: long non-coding RNA, 259 nt
Filed under: Physcomitrium patens
Lineage: Eukaryota; Viridiplantae; Streptophyta; Bryopsida; Funariales; Funariaceae
Description: long non-coding RNA (PPAT_LNC011928)
Source: RNAcentral
GUGGUAAUAUAGUUAGUAAGCAUUCUAUGCAUACUUAUUGGAUUCAAAAAGAUUUUCAAACAAUGUCAAUUUAGAGUUAAAUAUUAUGCAUGUAUUUAUUUGAAAGCAUAAGUUGCAUGUUUUUAUAUUCAUGUUGUAUUAUUGAUUGAGAUCAUAUAUUAUUAUUUUUUUUCAAAGAUAGUUUUUUUUAAAAUUACUUCUACUUGAGCUCAACUUGAUUACAAUAUAAGGCAUGGUCUACAAAUCAAUUAAAAAAAAA